CGCGUAGGCGGUCUUUUAAGUCAGGUGUGAAAGCCCGGGGCUCAACCCCGGAAGUGCACUUGAAACUAAGAGACUUGAGUAUGGGAGAGGGAAGUGGAAUUCCUGGUGUAGCGGUGAAAUGCGUAGAUAUCAGGAGGAACAUCAGUGGCGAAGGCGACUUCCUGGACCAAUACUGACGCUGAGGCGCGAAGGCGUGGGGAGCAAACA
RNAcentral lists this ribosomal RNA (207 nucleotides) under uncultured bacterium. RNAcentral's name for it is "partial 16S ribosomal RNA". It matches the Rfam family "Bacterial small subunit ribosomal RNA", at positions 568 to 774 of the family's 1533-position model. The record is from RNAcentral.